UGAUCCUGGCUCAGGAUGAACGCUAGCGGCAGGCUUAACACAUGCAAGUCGAGGGGUAACAUUGUAGCUUGCUACAGAUGACGACCGGCGCACGGGUGCGUAACGCGCAUAGAACUUACCUUUUACAGAGGGAUAGCCUUUAGAAAUGAAGAUUAAUACCUCAUAGUAUUAUUGAUUGGCAUCAAUUAAUAAUUAAAGAUUUAUCGGUAAAAGAUGGCUAUGCGUCCUAUUAGCUAGAUGGUAAGGUAAUGGCUUACCAUGGCUACGAUAGGUAGGGGCCCUGAGAGGGGGAUCCCCCACACUGGUACUGAGACACGGACCAGACCCCUACGGGAGGCAGCAGUGAGGAAUAUUGGGCAAUGGAGGUAACUCUGACCCAGCCAUGCCGCGUGCAGGAAGACUGCCCUAUGGGUUGUAAACUGCUUUUAUACAGGAAGAAACACUCGUACGUGUACGAGCUUGACGGUACUGUAAGAAUAAGGACCGGCUAACUCCGUGCCAGCAGCCGCGGUAAUACGGAGGGUCCGAGCGUUAUCCGGAAUCAUUGGGUUUAAAGGGUCCGCAGGCGGUCAAUUAAGUCAGAGGUGAAAUCCCAUAGCUUAACUAUGGAACUGCCUUUGAUACUGGUUGACUUGAGUCAUAUGGAAGUAGAUAGAAUGUGUAGUGUAGCGGUGAAAUGCAUAGAUAUUACACAGAAUACCGAUUGCGAAGGCAGUCUACUACGUAUGUACUGACGCUCAUGGACGAAAGCGUGGGGAGCGAACAGGAUUAGAUACCCUGGUAGU
RNAcentral lists this ribosomal RNA (785 nucleotides) under uncultured marine bacterium. RNAcentral's name for it is "bacterial SSU rRNA". It matches the Rfam family "Bacterial small subunit ribosomal RNA", at positions 14 to 794 of the family's 1533-position model. The record is from RNAcentral.